This 235-nucleotide ribosomal RNA is filed under the name uncultured bacterium. RNAcentral's name for it is "partial 16S ribosomal RNA". It matches the Rfam family "Bacterial small subunit ribosomal RNA", at positions 100 to 334 of the family's 1533-position model. The record is from RNAcentral.
CGGGACGGGUGAGUAACGCGUGGGUGACCUGCCCCAUACCGGGGGAUAACAGCUGGAAACGGCUGCUAAUACCGCAUAAGCGCACAGAGCUGCAUGGCUCGGUGUGAAAAACUCCGGUGGUAUGGGAUGGGCCCGCGUCUGAUUAGGCAGUUGGCGGGGUAACGGCCCACCAAACCGACGAUCAGUAGCCGGCCUGAGAGGGCGCCGGCCACAUUGGGACUGAGACACGGCCCAA